RNAcentral lists this transfer RNA (94 nucleotides) under Bacillota bacterium. RNAcentral describes it as "tRNA-Ser". It matches the Rfam family "tRNA". From Rfam's summary of the family: Transfer RNA (tRNA) molecules are approximately 80 nucleotides in length. Their secondary structure includes four short double-helical elements and three loops (D, anti-codon, and T loops). The record is from RNAcentral. Lineage: Bacteria; Bacillati; Bacillota.
GGAGAGAUGGCUGAGUUGGUCGAAGGCGCUCGACUCGAAAUCGAGUAGGCUGUGAUGAGCGGCCUCGUGGGUUCGAAUCCCACUCUCUCCGCCA